Molecule: ribosomal RNA, 468 nt
Filed under: uncultured bacterium
Lineage: Bacteria
Description: partial 16S ribosomal RNA
Rfam family: Bacterial small subunit ribosomal RNA (bases 53-468)
Source: RNAcentral
GGGGGGGGGGGGCGGGGGGCUGGGGGGGGGCGGGGCGGAGGGAAGGGGCCGGCGUUUGUGGGGUGCUCGGGUGGCGAACGGGUGAGUAACACGUGGGUAACCUGCCCUUGACUUUGGGAUAACUUCAGGAAACUGGGGCUAAUGCCGGCUAGGAGCUCCUGCUGCAUGGUGGGGGUUGGAGAGUUUCGGCGGUUGGGGAUGGACUCGCGGCUUAUCAGCUUGUUGGUGGGGUAGUGGCUUACCAAGGCUUUGACGGGUCGCCGGCCUGAGAGGGUGACCGGCCACAUUGGGACUGAGAUACGGCCCAGACUCCUACGGGAGGCAGCAGUGGGGAAUAUUGCACAAUGGGCGGAAGCCUGAUGCAGCAACGCCGCGGGCGGGAUGACGGCCUUCGGGGUGUAAACCGCUUUCGCCUGUGACGAAGCGUGAGUGACGGUAAUGGGUAAAGAAGCACCGGCUAACUACGUG